AAUACAGUACUUGGGCCAAAGUAAGGGUUCAGUCAGUCAACCUACAAACCAUUUUGCCUAGGCAACAAAGAUGACUGCACAAAGCUUAUCUAACAGGCACAUCUGGAGAGAACACCAAUAACAUAAUGGCCACCCUUCUUAAAAGGUGUUUACUAAAAAAUAUGCUAGGUAACUCCCUACUGACAUUACCUUUGUUAGAAAGCCUAGAAAAAAGGUGGCAGCACCAGAUAAUUUCUAGAAUUACUAUCCUACUUAGGAAAUAUUGGAUAUCAAAAAGAUAAAACAGUAUUCUUAGCAGAAACAUGUUACCCAUACCACCACCCCCCUAAGUUUCUAAGUUUAAGAAACUUCAUCCUUUUUCCUAACUCCAACUUCUGUAGCUUAAAGGUCAAGUAUUCUAACUAUUUCCCACUGGUAAGGGUAAAUUAAAAUUUUUUAAUGGACAUUUUUAAGGGAAUGUUUAAAGGACUUUAAAAUGUUCAUACAUAAUUUGAUCAAGGUUAUAAAAUAGAUUAGUGGCAGAGUCAAAUUAAACUCAACUCUUUUAAUGCCUGAUCCAGGGCUCUUUAGAAAACGCAGCUCCACUGAGGCUAGAACUUCACACUGUCCAUUUAUUUUACAUAAAAAUACUGUCUAAUCAUAGAUCAAUCACAGUUAUCGUUCUAACUUUGAUAAAAAGUAGUCAACACUCUGGUGUUUACUUCCUGGCCUCCUAUUUGCUGAACCCAUCAUGAAAAGAUGCUUUGAUGUAUGGCACUCCAGUAAAAGACAUCCAUGGUUAACUUGCUGGUGGUCCAUCAUUAAACAUUUUCAAUAUAUAUGAAAUUCAGAGACACCCUUGACCAAAUCUCAAAUGAUAUUAAUGUGCUUAUGUUCAUCAGUGUUCACAAAAGGGUGUUUUCCCUGGAAGUCAGGAGAGUCUAUAAACUUUUUACUUAUUAAAUAAUAAAAGAUUACAAAUACUAGUGUUUAAAUCAUAUUCAAUCUUCCAUAAUGUCUGAAGUAUCUGAAUGAAGAGAAAUGUGCAUGCUAGCACUGACAGUAUUUUCAACUUUCUAGAAACACUAAAGUUUCAAACACUACGGGUGACUAUUUGAGUACAUCAAAAAGGAAAACUCUCUUAACAUGGUAAUUUGAAUACUUUACGUGAUUAUAAUCUUAUGCUCAAUUUCUACUCUAGUAAAUGGUUAAUAUUAUUUAAUUUUUAUAAAUGUUGUUAGAUAUGGUUGAGAGAAAUGGUGUCUCUAUCAUGGCAAGAACAUGAAUAGGGAAUGAUAAAAAAAUUCAGUAUUUGUAUGUGUCGGAGUCCGCAUAAAACACUUUACAUGAAGUAGAGGUAUUGAAGAGGAACAGAAGGGAAGAGAGUGUUUUUUUCUAAUAUAGCACCAUCAGCAAAAUGUUUUAAGUAAUCAAAGUCUUUGACAGCAUCUGAGUUUCUACAACAGUAGUUCUAUUUUACAGUUAGCAACAGUACCACACUUCUAGAUUUGAACCAAUUAUUUGUUUAAAAGGCAUAGAAGAGGAAAACCAUAAUUAUUUUAAAAUAAUCACUUUGAAAUUUAGAAUACUGGAUAUUAAAUCUUUAAUUUUUUAUAUUCUCAAAUACUACUUUAAAAUAGCUUUAUAUAUCUUCAUCAGUAUCCCUUAAAAGUAAUACAACUCAGAUUUCCUAAAUGUUGUUGUCCUCAUGAAACCACUAAGAAAGUAAAAGACCAAAAAAGGAUGCAAAACAAAUGUAGGACAACUCAAGAGAUCAAGAACCUUACUAUCAUUCUAAUAUAAUUACAGCUAGAGUUUGAAGCUAAUGAAAUUUACGAAUGUGAGGAAUAUUCCACUUUCUUUAGAUAACAGAGUUACCAUAAACUCUCAUAUUUUAGAGAUGUGCUCUCAUGGUCAAUACCAGAAUAUGCUGACGCUGAGCUAGGAAUAUGGAGCAGAAAGACUAUGAGUUGAUGAAUGAAAUAAUAUAUAAUCUCUACAAUUUCAUGAGGGCAUGCAAGUUAACUACAAAUUACCAAGGCUACCCACAAAAGUUGAAACAAAUAAAAUAAGAAAGAAAAACUUACUAAUCUAAUCUUUAAAAUAAGUGCUGCUGCUUUAAGUGGCCAGCAGCCUCACAUAAACUCCAGGCUGCAAUCACAACAUCCAUUAGAGUGCUCCACAGCUCAGAGCAAGCAAGCAAGUGGUUGUCAGUGCAGCUAGUAAAUCACCUGAUCCUAUUACAAAAUCAAUUACUGCAGUGCAUUUCCAUUGCUACACAAUCUGAUGAUGACAAAAUGAUAUUGGAUAUCUACUGCAAGGUCAAGAAAACUGCUAGGAAUAUCUUUAAUUGGUCUUUUAUCUUUAAUAAUUUGGUCCUAGUCAUAAUGCACUCAUUUUCAUGGCAUAUUUUUAUUUGAAAUAAAUCUAUGUAGUUACCUUUGGUUGCCUGGGACAUUCGAUGGAUAAUCUCUGCAACUGGUCUGAUUUAUGGCUACAAGAGAACAAAUCGGAGCAGCAGGUCGAACGGCUCAACCUCUUCAUUAAAGAAGAAAUAAUGCUGCAGCCACAGCCACACAUUGACUUGCUCAUUAGAUGAGAAUCUGACUUAAAAAAUCAGAACUGGUGAUGUCACAUAUAUACUCAAAAUUGUCAAACUGCCUCAUUCUGCAGCUCUCUAGCUGAACGAAACACUGCUAAAAGAAUAAAACAACAGCUUUGCUACAGAAGAUGCCAGACACAAAGUCAUCACCAAGAAAAACUCAUUAUUAAAAACAGAAGUCUCCUAGCUACUCUUUAGAAAGAAGGUAAGGUGCUUUAAUAUUUUAAAUUGUUCUAUAUUAAAGCCCUAGUACUUAAAAAAGGAACAAACUCAAGAUAAGACACCCUGAAAUUAUACUAACCACUUUCCGUCUUCCUUCAGUUUAGAUCUAUUUGCCUACUCCUUCAGCUCAGCCUAUCCAACCUGUUCCCUCUGUAAAUGCACACUAUUUCAACAACCAACAGGAAUGAGCUCCACCCCUCCCCAUCGCCACACACACUGUUCAAGAACCGUUCAAUAUCUGGAAAAGAACUGCUGCUGCAUUGCUUUGAGAAACAACAGGGAGCAAAUUACUGGACGGAUUCUUUAACUUACCAAUCAGAACUGCUGACCUUUUAUGACUCUACAAUUCAAGAAGCCUGCCAAACACUCACACUGAAUAUACCAUAAGCAUGACUAGAGGUCGCCAUUGUUUCUGCUGCUUCCUUCUUCUAACCUGAUGCCCAGGGGAUUCCCUCUGCACCUCGGUAGUCUGGUGGUCAGCGAAGGAACUGGACAGAGACUAUACUCAGAUGUGUGGCCCACAUCCUCUGAUGUUAUCUUGCUUUCAGUGUUUCUUCCCUAAAUUUUAACUCUUUGUCAACAACAUGUUCUGUCAAAAAAAGAAGCAAAUAUGAAUUAUAUGGUUUAAUUCUUUCAAGAGCAGAUUCCACUCUUGUUUCUACCUGUUUUUACACUGGGUCCCCUGGGGUCUCCCUAUGCAUGUAUUGUUUCAUGAUUAGCUACAAUCUGGACAGAGUUUCCAUUCAGAUUUUGGAUCUUAAUUCUUGCUUCCAGGAUUCCCCUGAGUAAAUUUCCAACUGCUAACUUCUUUCCUAUGCCACUGGAACAACAGGAGGCUAAGGCAAGAAAGCCACAAACACACAAUUACACAUUGCAAUUGGAGGCUCUCAUCUGGUUUUUGCCUUCUUUGGUUACUUUACAUUGCUUUUAAAACAGUUAAAGUUUUUCUUUCAAUAUUUUGUCCAGAUUUUAUACCUGCUAUGUGAAAGAUGGUUCACUCAACUACUUCACUAGCAUCACUGCAUCCUUAAAAGAAGAAUCUCAAAGUUCUAAUUAAUGAAAAAUUUCUCACAUCUUUGAUUUCUAUUCCUUACACCAAGUUAAAAUCUUCACCUCAUCAGACAAGAAUUUAAAGUACUUCCACUUCCAGUUUUCUCUUUUUUUUUAAAUCUCACAUAACACACUGAGUAAUUUCUUGUCUGGCAUAUUACCUGUAUCAUUCAUUACAAAGAAUGUUUCUGGUUGGCUGUGGUGGCUCAUGCCUGUAAUCCCACCACUUUGGGAGACUGAGGCAGGUGGAUCACUUGAGGCCAGGAGUUCAAGACCAGCCUGGUCAACAUGGUGAAACUCCGUCU
Long non-coding RNA from Cebus imitator (Panamanian white-faced capuchin), 4158 nucleotides. RefSeq lists it as uncharacterized. The transcript is spliced from 3 exons. NCBI's taxonomy places the organism in Eukaryota, Metazoa, Chordata, Mammalia, Primates, Cebidae. The record is from RefSeq and is a predicted model, not a curated record.